This 354-nucleotide ribosomal RNA is filed under the name uncultured Aurantimonas sp. Its description in RNAcentral is "bacterial SSU rRNA". It matches the Rfam family "Bacterial small subunit ribosomal RNA", at positions 90 to 479 of the family's 1533-position model. Lineage: Bacteria; Pseudomonadati; Pseudomonadota; Alphaproteobacteria; Hyphomicrobiales; Aurantimonadaceae. The record is from RNAcentral.
GGGGAGUGGCAGACGGGUGAGUAACGCGUGGGAAUCUACCCAUCUCUACGGGAUAGCUCCGGGAAACUGGAAUUAAUACCGUAUACGUCCUGAGGGAGAAAGAUUUAUCGGGGAUGGAUGAGCCCGCGUUGGAUUAGCUAGUUGGUGGGGUAAAGGCCUACCAAGGCGACGAUCCAUAGCUGGUCUGAGAGGAUGCCCAGCCACAUUGGGACUGAGACACGGCCCAAACUCCUACGGGAGGCAGCAGUGGGGAAUAUUGGACAAUGGGCGCAAGCCUGAUCCAGCCAUGCCGCGUGAGUGAUGAAGGUCUUAGGAUUGUAAAGCUCUUUCAGUGGGGACGAUAAUGACGGUACC